GCUCUCUUCUGCUCUUCUGCCCUGUGAGGAUGCAGCAAGAAAACCCUCACCAGAUGCCAGUGCCUUGAUCUUGGACUUCCCAGCCCCCAGAGCUGACUAGAUCGCUAGCUGGCCCUUUGAUUUAACUCUUCAUCUACCAUAGUCAGGUGCCACAGCUUGAUGAACGAGAUAGAAUCGCACAAUGGGAUCAAAGGGACAGCCAGCCCAGUUUAUUUCCAGAGGAAAAGCUUACCAGGACACAAAGGAGGAAAAAAGACUCGGCUUGAAACCAAUUCUUCCCUGAAGUACAAAUGUAAGAGAAAAGACAUCACCAGGAGCAGUUACGUCUAUGGCAAUCGUAGCUCUGUAAGCCUGGCCUGCUCACGUGGAAGUAAAUUAUUUGAUGAGCUGGGGAAAUAUAAGCAGUUUGUGUGGAUUAAAAGGAAAUCCUCACCCAAACUAUAUCUUUAAAAAUUAUCUAGAUAAUUCAGGUGAAAGCAGGCUUUCUCCCUUGUGAAUUAUUAAAGUAAUUGAUUACAUCCAUCUGCUCCUCGUCAGAGAAUUCAAGGGCCAAAUGCUUUUUCGGCGUCUCCUUUUCUAUCCUUCCCUUUCAUGUGACUUA
This is a long non-coding RNA of Homo sapiens (human), 601 nucleotides long. Ensembl annotates it as long intergenic non-protein coding RNA 2490. The record is from Ensembl. Lineage: Eukaryota; Metazoa; Chordata; Mammalia; Primates; Hominidae.